CCUACGGGAGGCAGCAGUGAGGAAUAUUGGUCAAUGGGCGAAAGCCUGAACCAGCAAAGUCGCGUGAGGGAGUAAUGCCCUAUGGGUUGUAAACCUCUUUUGUCGGGGAGAAAAAGCCGGAAGUGUCCGGCUGUGCGCGUACACGAAGAAUAAGCAUCGGCUAACUCCGUGCUAGCAGCCGCGGUAAUACGGAGGAUGCGAGCGUUAUCCGGAUUUAUUGGGUGUAAAGGGUGCGCAGGCGGCUUUUUAAGUCAGCGGUCAAAUCGUGGGGCUCAACCCCAUCCAGCCGUUGAAACUGGGGAUCUAGAGUGUGCGAGAGGUAUGCGGAAUGCGAUGUGUAGCGGUGAAAUGCAUAGAUAUCACGCAGAACCCCGAUUGCGAAGGCAGCAUACCGGUGCACAACUGACGCUCAGGCACGAAAGCGUGGGUAUCGAACAGGAUUAGAUACCCCGGUAGUC
RNAcentral lists this ribosomal RNA (458 nucleotides) under uncultured bacterium. RNAcentral's name for it is "partial 16S ribosomal RNA". It matches the Rfam family "Bacterial small subunit ribosomal RNA", at positions 338 to 795 of the family's 1533-position model. The record is from RNAcentral.